RNAcentral lists this ribosomal RNA (491 nucleotides) under uncultured bacterium. RNAcentral's name for it is "partial 16S ribosomal RNA". It matches the Rfam family "Bacterial small subunit ribosomal RNA", at positions 29 to 506 of the family's 1533-position model. The record is from RNAcentral.
AGUGAACGCUGGCGGUAGGCCUAACACAUGCAAGUCGAACGGCAGCACAGUAAGAGCUUGCUCUUACGGGUGGCGAGUGGCGGACGGGUGAGGAAUACAUCGGAAUCUACUUUUUCGUGGGGGAUAACGUAGGGAAACUUACGCUAAUACCGCAUACGACCUACGGGUGAAAGCAGGGGAUCUUCGGACCUUGCGCGAUUGAAUGAGCCGAUGUCGGAUUAGCUAGUUGGCGGGGUAAAGGCCCACCAAGGCGACGAUCCGUAGCUGGUCUGAGAGGAUGAUCAGCCACACUGGAACUGAGACACGGUCCAGACUCCUACGGGAGGCAGCAGUGGGGAAGAUUGGACGAUGGGCGCAAGCCUGACCCAGCCAUACCGCGUGGGUGAAGAAGGCCUUCGGGUUGUAAAGCCCUUUUGUUGGGAAAGAAAAGCAGCAGGUUAAUACCCCGCUGUUCUGACGGUACCCAAAGAAUAAGCACCGGCUAACUUCGU